GACGAACGCUGGCGGCGUGCCUAAUACAUGCAAGUAGAACGCACAGUUUAUACCGUAGCUUGCUACACCAUAGACUGUGAGUUGCGAACGGGUGAGUAACGCGUAGGUAACCUGCCUGGUAGCGGGGGAUAACUAUUGGAAACGAUAGCUAAUACCGCAUAAUAUUGAUUAUUGCAUGAUAAUUAAUUGAAAGGUGCAAUUGCACCACUACCAGAUGGACCUGCGUUGUAUUAGCUAGUAGGUGAGGUAACGGCUCACCUAGGCGACGAUACAUAGCCGACCUGGGAGGGUGGUCGGCCACACUGGGACUGAGACACGGCCCAGACUCCUACGGGAGGCAGCAGUAGGGAAUCUUCGGCAAUGGACGAAAGUCUGACCGAGCAACGCCGCGUGAGUGAAGAAGGUUUUCGGAUCGUAAAGCUCUGUUGUAAGAGAAGAACGGGUGUGAGAGUGGAAAGUUCACACUGUGACGGUAUCUUACCAGAAAGGGACGGCUAACUACGUG
This 505-nucleotide ribosomal RNA is filed under the name uncultured bacterium. Its description in RNAcentral is "partial 16S ribosomal RNA". It matches the Rfam family "Bacterial small subunit ribosomal RNA", at positions 28 to 507 of the family's 1533-position model. The record is from RNAcentral.